GAUGUUUGGACAUUCACAACCAUUUUGUUAUUGUCAAAAUUAAUAAAAUUGGACAAUGAUUUAAAUAUUGAAAUAAGCUAUUUUGCAGCAUCUAAUAUAAAAAAUUUCUAAACGAAUUAGUUAAGUGUUAGUGGAUAUAAAGUGCAAAAAAAAGUGUAUAAUUCAUUUUAAAUCUCAAAAAUACGCACUUAAUAGUUGAAAUUUGAACUUUAAACCCAAUUAUCUCGAAAACUAUAAGUUUCCCGCGGCUAUAUCUAUAUAUAUUCUUGAUCUGGAGGAUCUCCUCUAUCCGCCCAUACCCAUUUUAUCCCCGAAAGCGUGGGACGUUAUUCUAAAGCCGACCCGAAUUAUUAUCUUACUUCUACACAUCUACAGUGUUUAGAAUAAUUUCAUCGCGACAUAAUGGCAUCAAAAAUACAUUAUAAAAGUCACGUUAGAGUUAAGUGAUAAUUAUUUAUUAUGCAGUUCGUGUCGAAGAGAAGCUUCAAAAUUGGUAAAGGAACAAACAAAUACUAGUAAUGAUACUAACGUUGAUGCAAGUGACCAUGAAGAUGGUGCUGACAGUGAUAGUAACGCAUCUCCCGUUGUUUUCAUCAUUCCGUUCCUUGUCGUUCAAUAGUAAAUCCAAAGAUUCACAAUCCAGCUCGGCAUCCCAAGUUAGUGCAACUCAAUUACCUGUUAUAAACGAUGCAUUGCGACUAUUAAAUCAAUCGCCGAUUCCUUCAAAAAUAUUGAAUGAUUAUCAAUUUUUGAUUAAUAAAAUAAAUCAGACAUCUGACAGCUUAAAAAAAUUUUUUGCUCUCAGCUACUGACGAAGGAUCAAUUGACGACGAUGGGGAAAAUUUUCGUUCAAUAAUUGAAAAGCUGCACGAUAAAUUCAACGACAAAGAAACAGAAAAGUCUUUGAAAAUACAAAUUUUAACCUUGUUAGCUGAAAAAUGGAGUGAAAGACGUAUUUUUGAAACUAUGAAUUCAUCAAGAGUAGCACACGUCCAAAAACUAUCUAUCUACUAUCUGUGUAUGUUCUAUCCAUCAAAACAUUAGUUGAUGAUGCUUGGUGCAAAUGUUCACUUUUUAAGGAGGAAUACAGAAAAGUCGUUGAAACACUGUAAUGAUUGCUCGGACAUGAUAAUAUGUGAGACUCCAACAGUAAAAUGUUAUUUGAGUGAAUGUAACAAGUGUCCAGGGGUAGAUGAGUUGAGGAACAUUUUACUGACAUGUUUUGAGAAUCAGGAAAUCGAGAAUGUCACGUACAAGCGUUGGGUAUCAAAACCAAGGUGUAGUUUAGAAACUUUUAUACAGCCUACAGAAGAAUUUAUUGAAAACUUUUGUAGUGAUUUGAAAGUUCUUCUACCUAUUCAUCAUUGCAAAAGAAACAAGCUCAGUUUUUAAAAACAAUGAAGGAAACACUAAAACCAAAUGAAUUUGUGAUAUUUUGUGAUUGAAGAAGACUAUAAUACAGCAUUGAAUGACAGAUUUACAAAACUUACCGAUCCAAACAGGGUUAUUUCAGUCGGUAACCGACUCCCUCUCAGUGAA
Non-coding RNA from Bactrocera oleae (olive fruit fly), 1539 nucleotides. The record is from RefSeq and is a predicted model, not a curated record. Lineage: Eukaryota; Metazoa; Arthropoda; Insecta; Diptera; Tephritidae.